Molecule: long non-coding RNA, 293 nt
Filed under: dengue virus type 3
Lineage: Riboviria; Orthornavirae; Kitrinoviricota; Flasuviricetes; Amarillovirales; Flaviviridae
Description: Dengue virus type 3 partial sfRNA1
Rfam family: Flavivirus DB element (bases 152-223)
Source: RNAcentral
UGACUGUCAGGCCACCUUAAGCCACAGUACGGAAGAAGCUGUGCUGCCUGUGAGCCCCGUCCAAGGACGUUAAAAGAAGAAGUCAGGCCCCAAAGCCACGGUUUGAGCAAACCGUGCUGCCUGUAGCUCCGUCGUGGGGACGUAAAACCUGGGAGGCUGCAAACUGUGGAAGCUGUACGCACAGUGUAGCAGACUAGUGGUUAGAGGAGACCCCUCCCAUGACACAACGCAGCAGCGGGGCCCGAGCACUGAGGGAAGCUGUACCUCCUUGCAAAGGACUAGAGGUUAGAGGA